RNAcentral lists this long non-coding RNA (1427 nucleotides) under Nicotiana tabacum (common tobacco). Its description in RNAcentral is "long non-coding RNA (NTAB_LNC004558)". The record is from RNAcentral. Lineage: Eukaryota; Viridiplantae; Streptophyta; Magnoliopsida; Solanales; Solanaceae.
GGAUCUACUUACCGGAGACCUGGAAAAAAACCAGUGACCCUUACUCUGAAGGAGACCCACCGCAGGACCCCGACCUAGACCUCUCUUCUUCAUUUUCUUCAGCUAUCAACACAUCCAAAAGGCCCACCCUAAAUCACCAAUACCUGGAGCACCUCUUCUUCUGCAAAAAUGAGAAGCAACCGCAGACCCCAUCUUCACCCUUUAACCCAACUAGCCAUGGCCAAAAUGACCUCAUUCUUCAUUUUCCUCAUCCGGUUUCAUCGAUAACAGUCCGGUGACAGCAUGGUUGAACAACAUCGACGAACCACCACUGUUUCACCAUUUUCUAUCUAAUGUUCUCACUCUGUUCUCUCGUUCACAGAUCCGAAGGGAAAUAAACAAAAAGUUUCAAUUCUUCUUAGUUUCAAUUUGAAUCUAAAUUUGAAAAUACACAAAAAAUUCAAGUUUCCACUCUGACUUUGGGUUCCAAAUACAUAGAGAUUAGCUGAGGAUCGUUGACUGCUCGUGAGGUUCAAGUUCGUUGGUUCUGAGUCAAUUUCUAUUGCUGUCUUGUUCGUUUGCUACUGGACGCACGAAUUCCGGCGCCGGAUUUGCUUGUAAUAGCUUCUGAACAAGGUUAAUCGAAAGUUUAAUUUAGGUUCAUCUUUCUGCAUUGUUUCUCUGUUGAUGUCGUUAAAAUCAUGGAUGGCAAUUUCGUUAAAAUUGGGUAGAUGACAAAGUCAUUUGAUGGAGUUGUUUUCUUAAUGAUUCAAGUUUAACAAUAUAAUAUAAUUUGCAGCAUUUUAGUGAAGUCUUAGUAAUAUGUUUAAAGUGUUCCCUUUCUUUUUUUUGACAUUAAUAUUUUGAGUAAAGAUCAGAUGGUGCUAUUGUCCACAAUACAGAUAAACAAAUUAAGCAUAAUGCAGCUUUUAUAGCUUAAAAAUGAGAGACCAAGGACACUCUUUGUUAUUAGACUAUUGAGUACAUUGCUUGUCCUCCCACAACUGGCAUAGAUAUACAUCCACAUGAAAUUCUUACCUUAUCUAAAAAAGAUAUGUGGUUCUUAUUGUUUAAACGUGAUCCACUGAAGCAGGCGUUGCUGGUGUAGUUGGUGUGGCUAGUGUAGCUGAUGCUAUCGUAAAUUGUACACCUCUUGACUGUCCCGAGUGUAACACAACUGCAAAUUGUGUUGCUGCCAAUGCUUCUGCUUCCUCUCUUUGGUUAAGAUCUAGAAAAUAUUUAUCUCCAGCUAGUUUGUCUUUGUCUGCUAAAGUCAAUUGAGCUUAUAAUCCAUUUCCAUAGCACUCUGUUAGGAAGUUUGCAUUUCCUUAGGUUUAUUUGCGUUCCAAUGAGCUAAUUUGAUGCUUGGAUUUGUUUUGUUCCUUUACAUGAGCCUAACUCCCUUUUCGAUAUCUCCCAGUAUUAGUCUUCAGUUAUUUUUUGAUCGC